Long non-coding RNA from Harpia harpyja (harpy eagle), 569 nucleotides. RefSeq lists it as uncharacterized. NCBI's taxonomy places the organism in Eukaryota, Metazoa, Chordata, Aves, Accipitriformes, Accipitridae. The record is from RefSeq and is a predicted model, not a curated record. The transcript has 4 exons.
UGGAUGGUAGUGCACCAUCAGCUUGUAAACAAGAAGAGCCUGUCAUUAAGCUGCGCUGCAUACCGUAGUUAAGCAGAGGAGAAAUUUUGCUACAACAGCUGGAACCAAGGCCCGAAAUUAAUCGUGAGAGGACCAGAAAGGCAUGCUACCAGAAAGCUGUAUACCACACCAGAACAGAGGGAUGAGACUGGAGCAUCUUCUGUGGGCAGCACACACGAGCACGUAUGAGCAACAGCAGUAGACACCAAUGUUCUCCGUACACAAGCACAGAGAACAGCGUCAGUGGCCAUCCUAGGAGAGUUGCCCCAAGUCAAACUUUCCCCAGAGGCAGAAGAUCGCCGUCCGAGCCAUGACCCACUUUGGUCCUGCUUUGAAGGAGAUGGAAGGCGGCGGGGACGCAGCGGGGACAGAUGCGGUUACAUCAGCGGGAGUUUUCUGCAGGCUGCGGUGUGUAAGCCACUGAUGCUCAGAAGUCAGAUUUCAUGCUGUACCCAAAGCAUGGAUAGCUUGGCCCACUGCUCUCUGCCUGACAAGAGGAUGGAUGAAAUAAAACAGCAACCAAGCAUUUA